AGUUAUUUUUAUGGAGAAAAUUUUGUUUUGAAAACAGGAUUAAAGUGUUCGAUUCACUUAGUAGCUU
RNAcentral lists this transfer RNA (67 nucleotides) under Cocculina enigmadonta. RNAcentral's name for it is "tRNA-Ser". The record is from RNAcentral. Lineage: Eukaryota; Metazoa; Mollusca; Gastropoda; Cocculinidae.